RNAcentral lists this ribosomal RNA (222 nucleotides) under uncultured bacterium. RNAcentral's name for it is "partial 16S ribosomal RNA". It matches the Rfam family "Bacterial small subunit ribosomal RNA", at positions 109 to 334 of the family's 1533-position model. The record is from RNAcentral.
AGUAAUGUCUGGGAAACUGCCUGAUGGAGGGGGAUAACUGCUGGAAACGGUAGCUAAUACCGCAUAAUGUCGCAAGACCAAAGAGGGGGACCUUCGGGCCUCUUGCCAUCGGAUGUGCCCAGAUGGGAUUAGCUAGUAGGUGGGGUAACGGCUCACCUAGGCGACGAUCCCUAGCUGGUCUGAGAGGAUGACCAGCCACACUGGAACUGAGACACGGUCCAG